UUUGACGCAGCUCUCUCCAUCUCUCUCUGUCUGUCUCAGCCUCUCCAUUGCAGCUCUUCUCACUCUCGAGUCUCGCCAUAGCUCUCUUUUCUCAGCCUCUCUCCAUCGCUCUCCGUCGAUCUCUCUUGUCUCAGCUUCGUCAUCGCUCUCCGUAGAUCUAUCUCGUCUCAGCCUCUUCCUAUCGGCGUUCCUCUCAAGUUCAGACCCCUCAUGCUCUCACUCUCUCGACGACGCUCAGACCCUCUCAAGCUCUCGACGACCAUCUUACGCACUCUCUCAAGGUCAUCACCUCUCUUUGAGCUUCGACCAAACCCAUAUCGAGCUUUCUCUUCUCCUCCACAGACGACGCCUCUCGAGCUCCCUCGUCUCCUCCACAGACGACGCCGUACAGUACAUUCAUGGUUUAGCUGCUAAAGGAGUACAUUAUAUUCAUCGCCCUGCUCCUACUCUCCAGGAUCUUGGCUUCUUUCUUCUUCCGGAGCUUGGUCAAGAGAGAAGCUACAUAAGUGAGACCCUCUUCACUACUGUUUUUCUUUCUUUCUUCCUGG
Long non-coding RNA from Raphanus sativus (radish), 548 nucleotides. RefSeq lists it as uncharacterized. The record is from RefSeq and is a predicted model, not a curated record. NCBI's taxonomy places the organism in Eukaryota, Viridiplantae, Streptophyta, Magnoliopsida, Brassicales, Brassicaceae. The transcript has 3 exons.